This is a non-coding RNA of Mycena rosella, 94 nucleotides long. NCBI's taxonomy places the organism in Eukaryota, Fungi, Basidiomycota, Agaricomycetes, Agaricales, Mycenaceae. The record is from the annotation of a GenBank genome assembly.
GGCCUGGUAGCACAACGGUUUCGUGCAUCUGCUUGCAAUGCACCAAGUGGAAAUAAUUUCAGCAGAGGAUCCCGUUCGACUCGGGGCCAGGCCA